AUUUUGUUGUAUUUUAUUUAUUUUUGUAUACCUUUCACGCUAACUAAUGCAGCUAAUUUAGCCUACUCGACAACCUGACUCAGAGAGGACUACUAUUUAUGUUAGCUAGGUGGCCAAGGCUAUCCGACACUGCAACUCAAAUCGAGAAAGGGCAGUGUCGUGGUGGAGCAUAAGGUUCUACUGCGUGUAGAGAAUGGGAAGAACCUAACUAAUGACAUCACUGAGUCAGAAGAACAGAUCAAGGACAUUCUCGAUGAGGCCAAAAACUGCACAACAGGUCAAGAAGGCUGCCUUGGAGUGACCAUCAUUGGAGAUAUCAAAGUCAAAAAUGCUACGUUUGAUAAAGAAUCUUUAUGCAACCAGGCCGGACUUGACAAGAACUUGAAGGUAUACUACCAUGCAGCUGAAAUAGAUGGGCGACUCGUCUGUGUCUCUCCCUGUGCCUCUGGCCACAACAGAACAAAACACUGUAACACCGGCACCUUUAGUAUGUCACGGGCCGGACCAGUCUGCAGUUAAGACUAUUACAUCUUAAGACUUCUUAUAAAAUAACAUGACAUAGCAUAACAUAACACAUGUAACAGAGUUAAGAUCAUACUGGUAAGCUCACUCCAAAGUGUGAAGGAUGGUUUUGUUCUCUUUUAACAUAAAUAUAUGCCUUAUAGAAAAAGGACAUGUUAAUCACAAAACAU
Molecule: long non-coding RNA, 692 nt
Organism: Salvelinus sp. IW2-2015
Lineage: Eukaryota; Metazoa; Chordata; Actinopteri; Salmoniformes; Salmonidae
Source: RefSeq, a predicted model, not a curated record